UCUUCAACCCUUCUGAAUCGUUUCUCUGAAACGUUGUGUGUCUCUCAGACACUAUAUUCCUCAAAGGAAUAAACCUCUCCAAUCUUCAUUAUUCCACAUUCUCCCUCGUCUCUUGGCCAUACAAUUAGCCUUCACAACUAGUAAUCUUACUAGCUUUCUUUGUUUUCCUUUUCUUUCUCUGAAAAUUUCAUCCAAUGGAUCUGAAAAAUGAGAUGGAGAUCAAGUUAUCAAACAGUUCUAGGAUAGUGAUCUUCGAGAAGUACGAGAUGGGAUGCGUGUUAGGGUAGGGGAACUUUGCGAAGGUAUACUACGGGAGGAACCUAGCGACAAGUGAAAGUGUGGCAAUUAAGGUGAUAAAGAAGGAUAGUUGAAGAAGGAGAGGCUGAUAGAGCAGAUUAAGAGAGAUGUUUUGGUUAUGAGCGAGGCUGGUGAGGCAUCCCAACAUAGUGAAGCUGAAGAAAGUUAUGGCGACGAAGGAGAAGAUAUUCUUGGUUAUGGAGUAUGUUAAGGGAGGGGAAUUGUUCAAGAAAGGGGAGAAAGUGAAGCUGAAGGAAAAUGUAGCUAGAAAGUAGAAAGUAUUUUCAGCAGUUGAUAUCGGCCAUUGAUUUCUGCCAUAGCCGCGGCGUCUCCGAUUUUGGCUUCUUUGUUUGCCGGAACAACGGCGUGCAGGUUCAUCAUAUUUUUUUUUAUUUUUUUCAAUUAUUUAAUGUCUUAAUUUGUUGUUACUGGUUUGGCUAUAUUAGGCUAUGAUUGAAUCACAAAAUUGACUGAUUUCUUCUUUUAGUUGAAUAAUUAGGACAUAAUUUCUUUUAUUGAUUAAAAAAUUAGGGCAUAGUUUUAGUAUGGUUUUGUAAUAUACCAUAUUUGGUGGAUGAGUCUUCUAGUUUUGGUAUCCACACG
Molecule: non-coding RNA, 900 nt
Organism: Arachis ipaensis
Lineage: Eukaryota; Viridiplantae; Streptophyta; Magnoliopsida; Fabales; Fabaceae
Source: RefSeq, a predicted model, not a curated record